RNAcentral lists this ribosomal RNA (205 nucleotides) under uncultured bacterium. Its description in RNAcentral is "partial 16S ribosomal RNA". It matches the Rfam family "Bacterial small subunit ribosomal RNA", at positions 524 to 729 of the family's 1533-position model. The record is from RNAcentral.
UACAGAGGGGGCAAGCGUUAUUCGGAAUUAUUGGGCGUAAAGGGCGCGUAGGCGGCCUGACAAGUGGAUGGUGAAAUCCCUCGGCUUAACCGAGGAACUGCCAUCCAGACUGUUUGGCUUGAGACCGGGAGAGGUGAGUGGAAUUCCCAGUGUAGCGGUGAAAUGCGUAGAUAUUGGGAGGAACACCAGUGGCGAAGGCGGCCAC